Molecule: ribosomal RNA, 143 nt
Filed under: Geotrichum candidum
Lineage: Eukaryota; Fungi; Ascomycota; Dipodascomycetes; Dipodascales; Dipodascaceae
Description: partial 28S ribosomal RNA
Rfam family: Eukaryotic large subunit ribosomal RNA
Source: RNAcentral
CCCGCUGAACUUAAGCAUAUCAAUAAGCGGAGGAAAAGAAACCAACAGGGAUUGCCUUAGUAACGGCGAGUGAAGCGGCAAAAGCUCAAAUUUGAAAUCGGCCUCCAGGUCGAGUUGUAAUUUGUAGAUUGUAUCUUGAGAGC